Molecule: ribosomal RNA, 497 nt
Filed under: uncultured bacterium
Lineage: Bacteria
Description: partial 16S ribosomal RNA
Rfam family: Bacterial small subunit ribosomal RNA
Source: RNAcentral
GAUGGACGCUGGCGGCGUGCCUAAUACAUGCAAGUCGAGCGAACAGACGAGGAGCUUGCUCCUCUGACGUUAGCGGCGGACGGGUGAGUAACACGUGGAUAACCUACCUAUAAGACUGGGAUAACUUCGGGAAACCGGAGCUAAUACCGGAUAAUAUAUUGAACCGCAUGGUUCAAUAGUGAAAGACGGUUUUGCUGUCACUUAUAGAUGGAUCCGCGCCGCAUUAGCUAGUUGGUAAGGUAACGGCUUACCAAGGCAACGAUGCGUAGCCGACCUGAGAGGGUGAUCGGCCACACUGGAACUGAGACACGGUCCAGACUCCUACGGGAGGCAGCAGUAGGGAAUCUUCCGCAAUGGGCGAAAGCCUGACGGAGCAACGCCGCGUGAGUGAUGAAGGUCUUCGGAUCGUAAAACUCUGUUAUUAGGGAAGAACAAAUGUGUAAGUAACUAUGCACGUCUUGACGGUACCUAGUCAGAAAGCCACGGCUAACUACGUG